This 432-nucleotide ribosomal RNA is filed under the name uncultured bacterium. RNAcentral describes it as "partial 16S ribosomal RNA". It matches the Rfam family "Bacterial small subunit ribosomal RNA", at positions 29 to 506 of the family's 1533-position model. The record is from RNAcentral.
AACGAACGCUGGCGGCAUGCCUAACACAUGCAAGUCGAACGAGACCUUCGGGUCUAGUGGCGCACGGGUGCGUAACGCGUGGGAACCUGCCCUUAGGUUCGGAAUAACUCCCCGAAAGGGGUGCUAAUACCGGAUAAUGUCUUCGGACCAAAGAUUUAUCGCCUUUGGAUGGGCCCGCGUUGGAUUAGCUAGUUGGUAGGGUAAAAGCCUACCAAGGCGACGAUCCAUAGCUGGUCUGAGAGGAUGAUCAGCCACACUGGGACUGAGACACGGCCCAGACUCCUCCGGGAGGCAGCAGUGGGGAAAAUUGGACAAUGGGCGAAAGCCUGAUCCAGCAAUGCCGCGGGAGUGAUGAAGGCCUUGGGGUGGUAAAGCUCUUUUACCCGGGAUGAUAAUGCCAGUACCGGGAGAAUAAGCCCCGGCUACCUCCGU